CCUUGUGGUGAUAACUGUCCAGUUCUGCUACUGAAGGGAGAGGGAUGAGAGCCUUUAGGUUGAGGAAG
Molecule: small nucleolar RNA, 68 nt
Organism: Callithrix jacchus (white-tufted-ear marmoset)
Lineage: Eukaryota; Metazoa; Chordata; Mammalia; Primates; Cebidae
Source: Ensembl